RNAcentral lists this ribosomal RNA (253 nucleotides) under uncultured bacterium. RNAcentral's name for it is "partial 16S ribosomal RNA". It matches the Rfam family "Bacterial small subunit ribosomal RNA", at positions 524 to 776 of the family's 1533-position model. The record is from RNAcentral.
UACGAAGGGGGCGAGCGUUGUUCGGAAUUACUGGGCGUAAAGGGCGCGCAGGCGGCCUUAGAAGUCAGAUGUGAAAGCCCCGGGCUCAACCUGGGAAUGGCAUUUGAUACUCUGAGGCUGGAGUACGGGAGAGGAGAGUGGAAUUCCCAGUGUAGAGGUGAAAUUCGUAGAUAUUGGGAAGAACACCGGUGGCGAAGGCGGGUCUCUGGGCAGUAACUGACGCUGAGGAGCGAAAGCGUGGGGAGCGAACAGG